RNAcentral lists this ribosomal RNA (497 nucleotides) under uncultured bacterium. RNAcentral describes it as "partial 16S ribosomal RNA". It matches the Rfam family "Bacterial small subunit ribosomal RNA", at positions 28 to 507 of the family's 1533-position model. The record is from RNAcentral.
GAUGAACGCUGGCGGCGUGCCUAAUACAUGCAAGUCGAGCGAACGGACGAGAAGCUUGCUUCUCUGAUGUUAGCGGCGGACGGGUGAGUAACACGUGGAUAACCUACCUAUAAGGCUGGGAUAACUUCGGGAAACCGGAGCUAAUACCGGAUAAUAUUUUGAACCGCAUGGUUCAAAAGUGAAAGACGGUCUUGCUGUCACUUAUAGAUGGAUCCGCGCUGCAUUAGCUAGUUGGUAAGGUAACGGCUUACCAAGGCAACGAUGCAUAGCCGACCUGAGAGGGUGAUCGGCCACACGGGAACUGAGACACGGUCCAGACUCCUACGGGAGGCAGCAGUAGGGAAUCUUCCGCAAUGGGCGAAAGCCUGACGGAGCAACGCCGCGUGAGUGAUGAAGGUCUUCGGAUCGUAAAACUCUGUUAUUAGGGAAGAACAUAUGUGUAAGUAACUGUGCACAUCUUGACGGUACCUAAUCAGAAAGCCACGGCUAACUACGUG